RNAcentral lists this ribosomal RNA (744 nucleotides) under Enterococcus sp. Its description in RNAcentral is "bacterial SSU rRNA". It matches the Rfam family "Bacterial small subunit ribosomal RNA", at positions 41 to 760 of the family's 1533-position model. Lineage: Bacteria; Bacillati; Bacillota; Bacilli; Lactobacillales; Enterococcaceae. The record is from RNAcentral.
GGCGUGCUAAUACAUGCAAGUUGAACGCUUCUUUCUUAUCGAACUUCGGUUCACCAAGAAAGAAGAGUAGCGAACGGGUGAGUAACACGUGGGUAACCUGCCCAUCAGCGGGGGAUAACACUUGGAAACAGGUGCUAAUACCGCAUAAUACUUUUUCUCUCAUGAGUGAAAGUUGAAAGGCGCUUUUGCGUCACUGAUGGAUGGACCCGCGGUGCAUUAGCUAGUUGGUAGGGUAACGGCCUACCAAGGCAACGAUGCAUAGCCGACCUGAGAGGGUGAUCGGCCACACUGGGACUGAGACACGGCCCAGACUCCUACGGGAGGCAGCAGUAGGGAAUCUUCGGCAAUGGACGAAAGUCUGACCGAGCAACGCCGCGUGAGUGAAGAAGGUUUUCGGAUCGUAAAACUCUGUUGUUAGAGAAGAACAAGGAUGAGAAGAGAAUGUUCAUCCCUUGACGGUAUCUAACCAGAAAGCCACGGCUAACUACGUGCCAGCAGCCGCGGUAAUACGUAGGUGGCAAGCGUUGUCCGGAUUUAUUGGGCGUAAAGCGAGCGCAGGCGGUUCUUUAAGUCUGAUGUGAAAGCCCCCGGCUCAACCGGGGAGGGUCAUUGGAAACUGGGGAACUUGAGUGCAGAAGAGGAGAGUGGAAUUCCAUGUGUAGCGGUGAAAUGCGUAGAUAUAUGGAGGAACACCAGUGGCGAAGGCGGCUCUCUGGUCUGUAACUGACGCUGAGGCUCGAAAGC